CGCUUGCUCACAUCGAGGCUGGCUUCUCACUGGAAGCCUCGAGCUGCAUUCCUCUCCAUUCACAGGAAGGGAGCCGGCGUGUUGAGCGCACUAGUAGUCCGUGACGAGUGAAAAUGUCCUUAAGUUUUGGAAUUUAAUCAUGGCAUGGAUAUCUAACCCAAGGAUCACUUGAAUUUUGGCUGAACCCUGCGCUCCGUUGGAUCCCAGAGAUCCUGCCCCUGUUGUGUGUGGGUGGGGGCUCUUCACUCACUCACUCACUCACUCACUCACUCACUGAUGGCAUCUUGCCAGGGGAAAGAUGGGCACCACUCACUGAUGGCAACUUGCCAGGGGAAAGAUGGGCACCACUCACUGAUGGCAACUUGCCAGGGGAAAGAUGGGCACCACUCACUGAUGGCAACUUGCCAGGGGAAAGAUGGGCACCACUUACUGAUGGCAACUUGCCAGGGGAAAGAUGGGCACCACUUACUGAUGGCAACUUGCCAGGGGAAAGAUGGGCACCACUUACUGAUGGCAACUUGCCAGGGGAAAGAUGGGCACCACUCACUGAUGGCAACUUGCCAGGGGAAAGAUGGGCACCACUCACUGAUGGCAACUUGCCAGGGGAAAGAUGGGCACCACUCACUGAUGGCGACUUGCCAGGGGAAAGAUGGGCACCACUCACUGAUGGCGACUUGCCAGGGGAAAGAUGGGCACCACUCACUGAUGGCAACUUGCCAGGGGAAAGAUGGGCACCACUCACUGAUGGCGACUUGCCAGGGGAAAGAUGGGCAACACUCACUGAUGGCAACUUGCCAGGGGAGGAUUGGCACCACUCACUGAUGGCAACUUGCCAGGGGAAAGAUGGGCACCACUCACUGAUGGCAACUUGCCAGGGGAGGAUUGGCACCACUCACUGAUGGCAACUUGCCAGGGGAAAGAUGGGCACCACUCACUGAUGGCAACUUGCCAGGGGAAAGAUGGGCACCACUCACUGAUGGCAACUUGCCAGGGGAAAGAUGGGCACCACUCACUGAUGGCAACUUGCCAGGGGAAAGAUGGGCACCACUUACUGAUGGCAACUUGCCAGGGGAAAGAUGGGCACCACUCACUGCUCCCCUUUCUUUCCUUCUUUUUCUGGCUCUCUCUCUGGUCUUGUGAAAGCUAGAGAAGAGAGCUGCCAGUAUUUCCAUCUCCGAUCGAAUUAAAUGUACUUUGUCUGAUAUAUUUGAAAAUAUGAUAACUUUUGGGAGGCCUCCUUCAGAAACUUAAUCCGGAUGGACACUACACGACUUUCAAAAUCCUAACAUCUCUGAGCCUGUCACAUUAAAGACUAUCGUUCCUGUAGUUUUUUGUUUUGCCAACAUAGUGGUGCACACACAAAAUUAUCUGUCACAGACAGGCUGUCAUACACUACAGGAUUCUUUAUUUGGUUGUGAGGAUUUUCGAAACCACGCUGUCCCUAGAAACCGCAACGAGAGUUUGUCACGAGCCAGACAGUGGCAAAACAAAGAUGGUGCUAGACAGUGAACAGCAGCUGGCCACACUUGUUCCGUGUGCAGGGAUUUGCACGGAGAAACACAAGAAGAAAAGACUACGAAUUUGGGUGAGGCCAUGGUUGGGGAGACGUGGCCAGUUUGGGUGGUCUGUACUGCAGAGAGAGUUGGAGAGGCAUGAUAGGAUGUGUUUCAGCAAGAUUCUGCAGAUGACCUCCGUCAAAUUAGAUUUCCUGCUGGGUAUGACGGGAUCCCUCAUCAGAAAGCAGGACACCCAAGAUGAGACAGGCAAUCACUGUGAAACGUUCAAAUCCCAAUACAGGAUUGGGAACACCACUGUGUCCAAUAUUGUUAUGGAGACAUGUGAAGCCCUGCAUCAGGUCAUGAAGGAAGAAUUCCUGAAGGUGUGGCUUUUCACCACAGAGGACUGUAGACACCAGCAUCGGAGGCUGAAUGGCAGGCAAUUACCAAAUAUUUAGAAGAGAAAUGGCAGUUUCCGCAUUGCCUUGGUGCCCUUGAGUUUUUCAUACAACCCCCUAGCCAACAAUGGCAGUAUGUGUCACUACUACAUGUCUAGGUUCCCCAUCCUCAUGAUGGCUGCUGCGGAUGCAAACUAUGAGUUUAUGUUAUGCCAGUGUGGGCACCCGGAGCACAAUCUCCAAUGCUGGGCUGUUUUCUCACUCUGACUGCAGAAAAGCAAUGGACUGGGGCCUUCUAAAUGUUCUGCCACCUGAGCCACUAACUCAAAUGUUGUGGUUCUGUACAUGUUUGUGGGGGAUGAGGCGUACCCCCUGUGGACUGACCUGAUAAAGCCCUAUCCAUAUCGACAGAUGGACCACGACCAGAGAAGCCGCAACUAUCGCCUCAAGGGCAUGGCGAGUAGUUGAAAAUGCCUUUGGCAUCCUCGCUAACAGGCUGAGGUUGUUUAGGUCCACCAUUUGCCGUGAACCAGACAAGGUUACGAAGAUCACCAUGGCCUUCCUCUGCGUACACAACUUCCUCAUAGAGCGUAGGUCUGAGGCGUACACGCCACCAGCGUUUGCAGACUGGGAAGAUGCUGACCACUGGAUCAUCGAGGGAGCCUGGAGGAGACAUGGACUGUGGAGCCUGGAAGGGGAUGUUAACCCCACAAUCAGUGCAAAAGAGCAACGCAACCUGCUAAGGGAUUAUUUUGUAUCACCUGCAAGUCAGGUUCCAUGGCUGGAGGAUCACAUUUAAGUAAGUCAUGGACGCAAGGGCUGUUCAUAUUCUGUUGGAAGGUAGCCAUGCUUUACUGUGUGUAGCCUAAUGUCUAAGAAUGUAUGUAGUUACCACUAUUGAGUCUUGACUGACAAAUGUGAUGACAGCUGUACUUUCUUUUUCAAUACAGUAAUUGAAAUAAAGUUAUAUAAAAG
This is a long non-coding RNA of Oncorhynchus tshawytscha (Chinook salmon), 2869 nucleotides long. The record is from Ensembl. NCBI's taxonomy places the organism in Eukaryota, Metazoa, Chordata, Actinopteri, Salmoniformes, Salmonidae.